Haliotis rufescens (red abalone) is the source of this 345-nucleotide long non-coding RNA. RefSeq lists it as uncharacterized. The transcript is spliced from 2 exons. The record is from RefSeq and is a predicted model, not a curated record. NCBI's taxonomy places the organism in Eukaryota, Metazoa, Mollusca, Gastropoda, Lepetellida, Haliotidae.
CCACUACAUCGACCCCUGCCACUUCCUGAACAUCUUCAAACAACAGGGCAUCUGUCCGCCCCAGCUGACUGCCAACAGCCUCCCCUGCACCUGCCCCUUCAGCCCCGACAAGCUCGACAUGCCCCCUUCCAAGUUCACCGUCAACAACAUCACUGAUGCCUGGCAAUUUCUGGCCAGUGGCGAGUACCACGUAAAACUCACCCUGAAUGACAAGACAAAUCAACAACUUCGUGGUUGUGUAGAGACGUACAUCGAAAUCACAGUGUGAUACCAAGUCAAAUACAUAUACAUGUUUAUUUGAUGAUAGAAAAUAAACACAAUAAAUAAUAUACAUGUUUGUAAUAA